AUGGUCCGGGGAAAGGCGGUCAUCGAGAGGAUCGAAAACACGACGAGCCGGCAGGUGACCUUCUCCAAGAGGAAGAGCGGGCUGUUCAAGAAAGCCAGGGAGCUGGGCGUCCUCUGCGAUGCGCAGGUAGCCGUCCUCCUCUUCUCCAACACCGGACGCCUCUACGACUACUCCAACUCCAACUCCGGGAUGAAAUCCAUAAUUGAAAGAUACCAACAUGUUAAGGAGGGCCAACAAUUCAUGAGUGCAAGCGCUGAGGCUAAGUUCUGGCAAGCAGAGGGAGUGCGUCUGAGGCAACAACUACAUAACUUGCAAGAGAAUCAUAGACAGUUGCUGGGACAACAUCUAUCCGGCUUAGGUUUGGAAGACUUGAGGGGUUUAGAGAACCAGCUGGAAACAAGCAUACAUAACAUUCGGCUAACAAAGGACCAACUUAUGAUUGAUGAAACUGAAGAGCUAAAGAAGAAGGCAAGCCUCGUGCACCAGGAAAAUAUUGAGCUACACAAGAAACUAAACAUCAUUCGUCAAGAGAACAUAGAUUUGCAAAACAAGUUAAAUGGCCAGGCCGAAGUAAACGGGACAAUUACAAGUUCAUCUAGUGAGUACUACAUUGCUGCUCGAGAGGAUCCAGUUCGUCUGGAACUCAGCUAUCCAGACCAUGCAGAAAGGGAUGAGCAACCAGAAUCACCAACGCUGGGGCUAAAAGUUUCUACUGCUAGGACUGCCAGAUGA
This 732-nucleotide ribosomal RNA is filed under the name Triticum aestivum (bread wheat). RNAcentral describes it as "partial small subunit ribosomal RNA". The record is from RNAcentral. Lineage: Eukaryota; Viridiplantae; Streptophyta; Magnoliopsida; Poales; Poaceae.